Molecule: ribosomal RNA, 471 nt
Filed under: uncultured Alphaproteobacteria bacterium
Lineage: Bacteria; Pseudomonadati; Pseudomonadota; Alphaproteobacteria
Description: bacterial SSU rRNA
Rfam family: Bacterial small subunit ribosomal RNA
Source: RNAcentral
GAGUUUGAUCCUGGCUCAGACCGAAUCCUGGCGGCAUGCAUAACACAUGCAAGUCGAACGAGAUCUUCCAAUCUAGUGGCGCACGGGUGAGUAACGAGUGGAAAUCUGCCAUUCAGUCCGGAAUAACGUUUGGAAACGAACGGUAAUACUGUCUAUGCCAUACGGGGGAAAGGUCCGCCGCAGAAAGAGGAGUCCGCGUCAGAUUACCAUAGUUGGUAGGGUAAUGGCCUACCAAGGCGACGAUCGGUAGCUGGUCUGAGAGGAUGAUCAGCCACAUUUGGAGUGAGACUCGGCCCCGACUCGUACGGGAGGCAGCAGUGGGGAAUACUGUACAAUGGGGGCAUCCUUGAUCCAGCAAUGCCGCGUGUGUGAUGAAGGCCCUAGGGUUGUAAAGCAGCUUCAGCUGUGAAGCAGAUGACGGUAACCAUAGAAGAAGCCCCGGCUAACUUAGUGCCACCAGCCGCGGUAAUA